GAUGAACGCUGGCGGCGUGCCUAAUACAUGCAAGUCGAGCGAAUGGAUUAAGAGCUUGCUCUUAUGAAGUUAGCGGCGGACGGGUGAGUAACACGUGGGUAACCUGCCCAUAAGACUGGGAUAACUCCGGGAAACCGGGGCUAAUACCGGAUAACAUUUUGAACCACAUGGUUCGAAAUUGAAAGGCGGCUUCGGCUGUCACUUAUGGAUGGACCCGCGUCGCAUUAGCUAGUUGGUGAGGUAACGGCUCACCAAGGCAACGAUGCGUAGCCGACCUGAGAGGGUGAUCGGCCACACUGGGACUGAGACACGGCCCAGACUCCUACGGGAGGCAGCAGUAGGGAAUCUUCCGCAAUGGACGAAA
Molecule: ribosomal RNA, 364 nt
Filed under: uncultured bacterium
Lineage: Bacteria
Description: bacterial SSU rRNA
Rfam family: Bacterial small subunit ribosomal RNA
Source: RNAcentral